GGACUCCUGAAAAGGCAGGCGGGGUAAGGGGGACAGGGGCGGGGUUCCGCGCAUGGCCGGAAGUGCCCCGGCGGGGUCUCGAGCCUGGUUCAGCCGCUGCUGGGGUAGCUAGCGGGCUGACCGCGCGCUUGUCGGGCGGUAGGAAGAACGGUAGCCUAGGAGACCCCGGAGCGUGCACGCCCACGCGCCUGCGGAGAGGCAAAAUCUAAGCGCGCUACGUUUGCAAACUCAACUGACCUGGAUUUGAGGCCUGCCCCUUCCCCCUUCCAGCUGUGUGACCUUGGGCUGGUCACUGGCUUCUUUAUGGCCCUAAAAUGAGGUCUCACCCGAUCCCGAAGGACCCUUUGGACGUCAGCAUCCUUUGAUCCUAGAGCUGACCGGAGUGUUCCACGGUUCUUCGGGACCAAGGUGGGAGAAUCAGGGAAAAGAGCAUUUUCUGAAUUAGCUGCUAAACCUCCUGAAUUAGCGAGAAUUCAGGGUUCCAGGGAGGGCACUCUUCUCUCCGCCAUCCAGAGACUGCCAGGUGGCAGCGAUAUUAGCGCACUCGCCCCCAAUGCGGGAAGAAGCUCUGCCUUCUCAGGACUCUGUCCAUUCCGAAAAAGGGAGACUAGGAGAUGAGGGUAUGGCUGGUGUGCUUUUGUCAGCUAGGUCCCAGGACCAUGUGGGAGUGGGAGCCUUGAAUGGAUAGAAAUAUUUGGUGUUUCAGGAAUCUGUGGCAUUUAAAGAUGUGGUCAUAGAUUUUACUCAGGAGGAGUGGAGACAACUAGACCUUCCUCAGAAAGAUCUGUACAAGGACCCGAUAUUGGAGAAGUAUAGCAAUCUGAUUUUGCUGGGUAAGAACAAUUGCCUUUUAGUGCAUCUUCAGCUCUCUAAUUUUUAAAACCCUAAGUAUCAUCUGAAGUGUAUAAUUAAUAUUUGGCUUAGGAUUUGUGGGUUAUAAAUAUCUAAAUUUCCUGCACCUGGGAACAUAUUGUUUCAUUC
This 981-nucleotide long non-coding RNA is filed under the name Sarcophilus harrisii (Tasmanian devil). RNAcentral describes it as "lncRNA (ENSSHAG00000031671.1)". The record is from RNAcentral. Lineage: Eukaryota; Metazoa; Chordata; Mammalia; Dasyuromorphia; Dasyuridae.